This is a non-coding RNA of Mus caroli (Ryukyu mouse), 419 nucleotides long. The record is from the annotation of a RefSeq genome assembly. NCBI's taxonomy places the organism in Eukaryota, Metazoa, Chordata, Mammalia, Rodentia, Muridae.
GCCUCCACUGAUCACUCUCCUAUGUUCAUUUCCUCAAAAUGAUGAGUCCUGCCCAGUUCCUGUUUCUGCUAGUGCUCUGGAUUCAGGAAACCAACGGUGAUGUUGUGAUGACCCAGACUCCACUCACUUUGUCAGUUACCAUUGGACAACCAGCCUCCAUCUCUUGCAAGUCAAGUCAGAGCCUCUUACAUAGUAAUGGAAAUACUUAUUUGAAUUGGUUAUUACAGAGGCCAGGCCAGUCUCCAAAGCUCCUAAUCUAUCUGGUUUCUAAACUGGACUCUGGAGUCCCUGACAGGUUCAGUGGCAGUGGAUCAGGGACAGAUUUCACACUGAGAAUCAGCAGAGUGGAGGCUGAGGAUUUGGGAGUUUAUUACUGCCUUCAACAUACACAUGCUCCUCCCACAGUGAUUCAGACCUGA